RNAcentral lists this unclassified non-coding RNA (491 nucleotides) under Bombus terrestris (buff-tailed bumblebee). RNAcentral describes it as "misc RNA ENSBTSG00005030510.1". Lineage: Eukaryota; Metazoa; Arthropoda; Insecta; Hymenoptera; Apidae. The record is from RNAcentral.
CCGAAGACUGACCAAUUGACAAUAACGGCAAUUUCCCUCACUCUCCGAACGAAGACUUGUCUCCACGAAUAUAAAAGACCUGGUGCCGCUAGAGAGUGGAGUAGUUUUUCCUAAACAGCGUCACCGUGAGAGCUUCGAGCGUUGCCGACGAUUAAAGAGUAUAAGAGUCCCGUUGACCGCGGAUUCGUUAUCGGAUCUAAGACUAUCGUCAUUCGCAUCGCGAGUACCUAACCGCCGCAGUUUGUUUGUCAAACCUCACAUCUCCAUACUUGUGUCAAUAAACUCUGGAUCAUACCUUGACAAUGGCUACUACUGGUGAAGAUUCGUUACCUGCCCACACCUCCAAUCCUACUGGCUCUCCGACAUAUAUUUUUCUCAAAAUGUUGAAAAUUUGUUCGUAAAAAAUCAUCUUACAAAAUUUCAAAAUUUGUUUUAUAAACGUAAUGACAGAUUAUAUUAAAAAUAAUAAAAAAUUGUAAUAACAAUUUUUA